Long non-coding RNA from Selaginella moellendorffii, 1760 nucleotides. RefSeq lists it as uncharacterized. The record is from RefSeq and is a predicted model, not a curated record. The transcript is spliced from 6 exons. Lineage: Eukaryota; Viridiplantae; Streptophyta; Lycopodiopsida; Selaginellales; Selaginellaceae.
GCGACUUACGUGCUCAUCGCCAACGUGCGGGAAUUUUUGUGGUCGGGGUUAGGGUUCUAGGCUGCGGUGGAGAUCGAGGCCCUUGGAUCGCUUUUCCAUGGCCCGUGGGAGAAGAGGUAGCUCUCGGGUGACGGUUUUCUCUGGAAUGUAGCUGCUGUUUUGUUGAUUUUGGGAAGAAUGUACCCUUUUCCUGUGGGAUGCAGAGCUCUGCGAGGAAGGGAGGCGAGGCAUACGCGAUGGCAAUCCGAGAGGAUAAGCUGGGGCCUUUGUUUGCGGUACGCUGCGGGGAGAUUGAAAGCACGGGUGGGAAGCGAUGAUGAAAAUUCAGCAUCCAGGAACUCGUUCUCUUGGAGUCAAUGGCGAGGAGGCAAUUGUUCUUUUCUUGUCGUUGUCUCCGCGGCAAAAAAAAAAAGUUCUAUCUGGGCAGAUGGUUGGCCUUGCGGAUCCUGUUGUGCAGUAUCUCCUACGUGAACUAGUUUCUGCUUCAUCGAAAAAAGAUGAGACAGAAGUCAAUGUGCAAAGUUCGCCCAGCGCUCGUUCUCCAGACUUGUUUCGUUCUUCAGUGAUUCGGGAAGGAAAUAAGAAGCAAGCGUUAUCUCUGCGGCCAGGAGACAAGGGUGUGAGGUCGUCUCAACGACAGAAAACAGACAGGAACUCGCAAGAGCGUCACAGUGCAGAAGAUUCUUGUCUAGAAAAUGUUUAUGUCUCGGAUUCGGAACCAGAGCUGGAACCGAAGAUUGUGCCCGAUACUCUGGAGGAACAUCACAUGAGGAGCUGGAGUCUAAGAUUGUGGCCGAUACUCUGGAGGUACUUCACGUGAGAGGAAGAACAUAAUUCACCAAAUCUAGAGCUAACAAUCGGCACCAGUCAGCAGUCAUUGCUGGGAUCCAACGCAGAAGAAAAUCAAAACAACUCGGACUUGUUUGCCAGCAUGAUAUCUCUGCUACUUCCAAAUGCCGAACGUGAUCCGAAGGCCGAACAUUUUGCGACUGCCGCAAUGAGAUGCCUUUUGAUAACAGGAGCUCUUUCUUUAGUCGCUGCUGGAGAUGAAGGUUGUAUCAAAGAAUGGCGCAUGGAUCCGUCUUGGAGGCAUUCUUUGUAUGAAGCAGAUCUCCCUCCUGCAAGAUAUAACCCCAAGACUUUCUGGAGCAUUUUAAAGCUAGAAAUCGUUCCUCAAGCACCUCACCUUGUUCUUGGAUGUGACAUGGAUGGCUACGGUGCAAUCUGGAAUAUCUCCAAAAAGCAGCUACUUUCUUCAUGCCACAACUUUUUCAGACAGCACCAGAUGCUUGAGAUCCUGGAUUCUACUCUCGCAACUCGGAAAUGCUGUCUGGGAUGUUUGUGAUGCCCAUCCUCACCACGUCGAUCGUGCCACAUAACAUACGCCGCGUGCUUCCCACUUCCGGAAUCCAAACCUUCAAGGGGGCUGAUCACGAUGAGGCACAGGACAUAGGCGAAUUGGUCAUCUGGCACUCUUGAAGUUUUUGUGGAUUCCUGGUCUUGAAGAGAUAUUUUCCAUAGCGCUGCUGCUGCGACCAUGGUCAUGAACAAAACAAGCAUGGCUGCCAUAGAUCAAACUUGCUAAAGUAUUUGAAAUGCUUCUCGCUCUUCUUGAAUGCUCCUAGCCGUUCAUUUAUGGAGAGAUCCUGGUCAUUGAUUUAUGGAGCGUUGAUUUAUGGAGGGAUCUGGACCGUUCAAGAAUAUUAAUUUACUCUCGACCGUCCAUUUUUUAUAAAGACGCAUUCCUGUCCGUUGAUUUA